This 220-nucleotide long non-coding RNA is filed under the name Homo sapiens (human). RNAcentral describes it as "non-protein coding LINC00571:2". Lineage: Eukaryota; Metazoa; Chordata; Mammalia; Primates; Hominidae. The record is from RNAcentral.
CCUCUGGACUGAAAGAUGGCAUCAGAAGUGGGAUCUAAAGUAAAGCUUCUAACAAUCCCCAUGAGCACUGAGUGACCAAGCAAGGUACACGCCAGGCCUGUUCUGUCUGUUGCUCUCACAGAGGAGCUGGGGAUCGUGGAGGUUCAUGACAGGAUGAAAAGAAACCUGAGAAGCACUCUUGAAGAGAGGUUUCUGAAUAACUUUCGAAUCAUAUCAUUUG